This 1011-nucleotide small RNA is filed under the name uncultured Acidimicrobium sp. RNAcentral describes it as "bacterial SSU rRNA". The stretch from base 1 to 472 matches the Rfam family "Bacterial small subunit ribosomal RNA", at positions 1064 to 1533 of the family's 1533-position model. The record is from RNAcentral. Lineage: Bacteria; Bacillati; Actinomycetota; Acidimicrobiia; Acidimicrobiales; Acidimicrobiaceae.
GUCGUGAGAUGUUGGGUUAAGUCCCGCAACGAGCGCAACCCCUGUCCUAUGUUGCCAGCGGGUAAUGCCGGGGACUCAUGGGAGACCGCCGGUGCCAAACCGGAGGAAGGUGGGGAUGAAGUCAAGUCAGCAUGCCCCUUACGUCCAGGGCUGCACACGCGCUACAAUGGCCGGUACAAAGGGUUGCAAACUCGCGAGGGUGAGCUAAUCCCAAAAAACCGGUCUCAGUUCGGAUUGCAGUCUGCAACUCGACUGCAUGAAGUCGGAGUCGCUAGUAAUCGCAGAUCAGCACGCUGCGGUGAAUACGUUCCCGGGCCUUGUACACACCGCCCGUCACACCACGAAAGUCGGCAACACCCGAAGCCGGUGGCCCAACCCUUUUGGGAGGGAGCCGUCGAAGGUGGGGUUGGCGAUUGGGGUGAAGUCGUAACAAGGUAGCCGUACCGGAAGGUGCGGCUGGAUCACCUCCUUUCUAAGGAACCUCACUGCCCGGUCCGGAACACUUCGUUUUCGGGUCGCCGGGGAGUUCCUACGUCGAGCACUGGCCUAUGUGUUGUUCACGAAACCCCUCGACCCUGGUGUACCAGCCAGCUGACUCAGCCCCUCGGGGCGAGAUCAUCAGCCGGGCCGUCACCGGCACCACCGAGACUUCGUGUCGGCCGGUUUUCACUGCUCUGUUUUGAGGAAGCGGCACACCGCUGCUAUCUCUCACGGCAGAUCGGGUGAAUCGUUGCGUCGAGCUCUGCUCCGCACCGCUUCAUACCGCCGCCGCGGGACGCGUUGCGUCUCGGCUGAGCCUUUGAGAACUGCAUAGCGAGCACGAGCGUCUUGUAACACGUUGUGGUCCUCAGUAUUCGAUCGGCUUUCCUGCUUAUCGAAUGCGCGAGGACUGUGCGAUUUCAAGCUAUGAAGAGCCAACGGUGGAUGCCUUGGCGCCAGAUGCCGAUGAAGGACGUGGGUGGCUGCGAAAAGCCACGGGGAGCUGUCUACCAAGCUUUGAUCCGUGGAUAU